GCUUUAAUAGUUUAAAUAAAACAAUGAUUUUGUAAAUCAUAAAUGAGAUACUCUUAAAGUU
RNAcentral lists this transfer RNA (61 nucleotides) under Megymenum gracilicorne. Its description in RNAcentral is "tRNA-Thr". Lineage: Eukaryota; Metazoa; Arthropoda; Insecta; Hemiptera; Dinidoridae. The record is from RNAcentral.